RNAcentral lists this ribosomal RNA (327 nucleotides) under uncultured eukaryote. RNAcentral describes it as "partial 18S ribosomal RNA". It matches the Rfam family "Eukaryotic small subunit ribosomal RNA", at positions 1470 to 1796 of the family's 1831-position model. The record is from RNAcentral.
CCCUUAGAUGUUCUGGGCUGCACGCGCGCUACACUGAAGCGUUCAACGAGUAUUCACCUUGCCCGGGAGGGUUGGGUAAUCUUUUGAAAACGCUUCGUGAUGGGGAUAGAUUAUUGCAAUUAUUAAUCUUCAACGAGGAAUUCCUAGUAAGCGCGAGUCAUCAGCUCGUACUGAUUACGUCCCUGCCCUUUGUACACACCGCCCGUCGCUCCUACCGAUUGGGUGUGCUGGUGAAAUGUUCGGAUCGGCCGUUUGUCGCGGUUUCCGCGUCAUGUGGCUGAGAAGUUCAUUAAACCCUCCCACCUAGAGGAAGGAGAAGUCGUAACA